This 729-nucleotide ribosomal RNA is filed under the name uncultured bacterium. RNAcentral's name for it is "bacterial SSU rRNA". It matches the Rfam family "Bacterial small subunit ribosomal RNA", at positions 771 to 1501 of the family's 1533-position model. The record is from RNAcentral.
AACAGGAUUAGAUACCCUGGUAGUCACGCCGUAAACGAUGUCGACUUGGAGGUUGUGCCCUUGAGGCGUGGCUUCCGGAGCUAACGCGUUAAGUCGACCGCCUGGGGAGUACGGCCGCAAGGUUAAAACUCAAAUGAAUUGACGGGGGCCCGCACAAGCGGUGGAGCAUGUGGUUUAAUUCGAUGCAACGCGAAGAACCUUACCUACUCUUGACAUCCAGAGAACUUAGCAGAGAUGCUUUGGUGCCUUCGGGAACUCUGAGACAGGUGCUGCAUGGCUGUCGUCAGCUCGUGUUGUGAAAUGUUGGGUUAAGUCCCGCAACGAGCGCAACCCUUAUCCUUUGUUGCCAGCGGUUAGGCCGGGAACUCAAAGGAGACUGCCAGUGAUAAACUGGAGGAAGGUGGGGAUGACGUCAAGUCAUCAUGGCCCUUACGAGUAGGGCUACACACGUGCUACAAUGGCGCAUACAAAGAGAAGCGACCUCGCGAGAGCAAGCGGACCUCAUAAAGUGCGUCGUAGUCCGGAUUGGAGUCUGCAACUCGACUCCAUGAAGUCGGAAUCGCUAGUAAUCGUAGAUCAGAAUGCUACGGUGAAUACGUUCCCGGGCCUUGUACACACCGCCCGUCACACCAUGGGAGUGGGUUGCAAAAGAAGUAGGUAGCUUAACCUUCGGGAGGGCGCUUACCACUUUGUGAUUCAUGACUGGGGUGAAGUCGUAACAAGGUAACC